CCCUUAGAUGUUCUGGGCCGCACGCGCGCUACACUGACGAAUGCAACGAGCUUAUAACCUUGGCCGAAAGGUCUGGGUAAUCUCCAAAUUUCGUCGUGAUGGGGAUAGAUUAUUGCAAUUAUUAAUCUUCAACGAGGAAUGCCUAGUAAGCGCAAGUCAUCAGCUUGCGUUGAUUACGUCCCUGCCCUUUGUACACACCGCCCGUCGCCCCUACCGAUUGAAUGGUCCGGUGAAGCGUUCGGACCGUGGCCUUUGGACGGUUCGCCGUCUGUUGGCUGCGGGAAGUUCGUUAAACCUUAUCAUUUAGAGGAAGGAGAAGUCGUANCA
RNAcentral lists this ribosomal RNA (327 nucleotides) under uncultured eukaryote. Its description in RNAcentral is "partial 18S ribosomal RNA". It matches the Rfam family "Eukaryotic small subunit ribosomal RNA", at positions 1470 to 1796 of the family's 1831-position model. The record is from RNAcentral.